GGGGAUUUAGCUCAGUGGUAGAGCGCUUGCCUAGCAAGUGCAAAGCCCUGGGUUCGGUCCCCAGCUCCA
Molecule: non-coding RNA, 69 nt
Organism: Rattus norvegicus (Norway rat)
Lineage: Eukaryota; Metazoa; Chordata; Mammalia; Rodentia; Muridae
Source: Rfam